Long non-coding RNA from Sphaerodactylus townsendi, 444 nucleotides. RefSeq lists it as uncharacterized. The record is from RefSeq and is a predicted model, not a curated record. The transcript has 3 exons. NCBI's taxonomy places the organism in Eukaryota, Metazoa, Chordata, Lepidosauria, Squamata, Sphaerodactylidae.
UUAAUUUUAAUUUUAGCCUCCUGGUCAUCAUAUCUACUAUUAAUUGCGUUCCAGAAUUUCCCCUUAAUUCCCAUACUCAAUAAUGUGAGUAAUAGGAAUGACCAAUUCACUCUGUCAAAAGCUUUUUCUGCAUCAAAAAAAAAUUAAUGCCAUUGAUUGGCCUUGUGUCAAGUUUAAGUAUUCUAUAAUAUUCACUAAAAUUCUUACAUUAUGUUUAAUUUGUCUACCAGGUAGGAAACCUGUUUGUUCUUCUGAAAUCUACUAACCAUCUCCCGGGUUUAUUACCUGAAAAUAAUUGUUUCUGUUUGAGAAUUUAGACCACUCACAUUCGAACAUUCAAUUUUAAUAGACAUCUUUACCUUAUGAAUAUGCGGGUCCAGUGGCUUCCUGGCUGCGAAUUCAUUUUCUCUCGGACUCUAAUUCCUGGUCCACCGUCUGCUCUCU